Molecule: ribosomal RNA, 478 nt
Filed under: uncultured bacterium
Lineage: Bacteria
Description: partial 16S ribosomal RNA
Rfam family: Bacterial small subunit ribosomal RNA
Source: RNAcentral
GACGAACGCUGGCGGCGUGCUUAACACAUGCAAGUCGAACGGUAAGGCCCUUCGGGGUACACGAGUGGCGAACGGGUGAGUAACACGUGGGUGAUCUGCCCUGCACUUCGGGAUAAGCCUGUGAAACUGGGUCUAAUACCGGAUAGGACCACUGCCUGCAUGGGUGGGGGUGGAAAGCUUUUGCGGUGUGGGUUGGGCCCGCGGCCUAUCAGCUGGUUGGUGGGGUGAUGGCCUACCAAGGCGACGACGGGUAGCCGGCCUGAGAGGGUGACCGGCCACACUGGGACUGAGAUACGGCCCAGACUCCUACGGGAGGCAGCAGUGGGGAAUAUUGCACAAUGGGCGCAAGCCUGAUGCAGCGACGCCGCGUGAGGGAUGACGGCCUUCGGGUUGUAAACCUCUUUCAGCACCGACGAAGCGCAAGUGACGGUAGGUGCAGAAGAAGGACCGGCCAACUACGUGCCAGCCGCCGCGGUAA